UACGAAGGGGGCUAGCGUUGCUCGGAAUUAUUGGGCGUAAAGAGCUCGUAGGCGGUUUGUCGCGUCUGCUGUGAAAACUGGAGGCUCAACCUCCAGCCUGCAGUGGGUACGGGCAGACUAGAGUGCGGUAGGGGAGAUUGGAAUUCCUGGUGUAGCGGUGGAAUGCGCAGGAUAUCAGGAGGAACACCGGUGGCGAAGGCGGGUCUCUGGGCCGUAACUGACGCUGAGGAGCGAAAGCGUGGGGAGCGAACAGG
This 254-nucleotide ribosomal RNA is filed under the name uncultured bacterium. RNAcentral describes it as "partial 16S ribosomal RNA". It matches the Rfam family "Bacterial small subunit ribosomal RNA", at positions 524 to 776 of the family's 1533-position model. The record is from RNAcentral.